Molecule: long non-coding RNA, 558 nt
Organism: Chrysemys picta bellii (western painted turtle)
Lineage: Eukaryota; Metazoa; Chordata; Testudines; Emydidae
Source: RefSeq, a predicted model, not a curated record
CAAGUAACAGUGAGGCUCUGAAAGCUUUAAGACUGACUUGCAAUCAUCACAGAAUGUGGGGGGCGAAGGGGAAGGAGGAGGGAGUCAGACAAUCUGGAUGAAUCCUUUGAAGUGGAAACAGAGUCCUAGUCUCAUCUGAUUCCACGCUAAAUGACUGACAAACAGUUCUCAAACAUGGAGGUGGAAGUAAGAGUUCUACUUAAAGAGUGACUGCAGGACAUCCCUAUCACAGCUGGCACCCAAUCUGGAAGGCCUAAAGAUAGGAAACAGUCGAUGGUAAGUCGUAUGGAUCGGAGAGCUUCGUCGAACGUUGAAGCUUUAAGGAGGCAAUCGUCUAGGUAAGGAAAUAUUACGACCCCUUGUUUUCUGAGGUAGGCUGUAACUACGGCUAGGAUCUUGGAAAAAACACGGGAGGCCGUGGACAGUCCAAAGGGGAGAACCCUCUAUUGGAAAUGUGUGGAGCCGAGAGUAAAACGUAGGAAACAUCUGUGGGACGGGUGUAUAGUCACAUGAAAAUAGGCGUCCUGUAGGUCGAGGGCUGAAAACCAGUCACUCUGC